GAGAGAGUGAGAUAUGUGAUUGUGUGCGUCUGUGUGUGAGAGGCGAGAGAUGGGAGAGAGGGGAGUCAAGGGACGGCGGAGGCGGCGCUACUACCGCCGCCGGAAAAGAGAAAGAGGAGGGGAGAGGGUGCUGCUACAUGUGUGUGUGAGUGUGACCGAGAGAGAGAGAAAAGAUUAAUUGUAUGCGUGUGUGUAUUAUGCGGCGUGGGGGGGGGAGAAGAAAAAGGGCGAGAGUGUGGGCUAGGGCUUGGUUGGGGAGUGGGCUUCAGUGAUGGGCCGGGUUUUAAUUAGAGUGGGCUGAGUAUGAUUUUUAAAAGCUUGAGCCGAAUUUUAUUUAUUUUAGUUUCAGUUGGGCAUAUUAAUUAAUAAAUUUGUUGGGCCUAAUUUUAUUUAAGGACUUUGAACUGCCUUCAAUUAAUUAAAUUGGGCUUCUUAUUUUUAAAUAAUUGAACUAUUAUUAGUUUGAUUAAUUUAUUUAAAGGAUAAUUUUUAUAAUAAUAUUAUAUUAUUAUUAUGUGCAUAUUUUAAGUAAUUACUUAUUAUAUGUUAAGCAUGACAUGAUUUGCAUUAUAUUUUGCAAUAAGAAUAUUUAUGAUUUAAUGGUUUUAUUAUAAUUCCAAUUAUUAAAGAAAGAUGAGUAAGAAUAUUGUUGGUGUUCUUAACUCAAGAGAAAUAUUUUCAAUUAUUUAUUCAUUAAAUUUUGAAAACCCGGCUAAAUGAAUCAUAGAAUAUUAAGCACUUCACUAUGACUUAAGAUUAGAUUCAGGAGACCUAUUAAGAUUAUAGAUUCUUGUAGGCUUUGUGGAUCGUGAGGACUAGCACUGCUAUACCAAUUCAGAGUUAAGAAUAAACGACAGGCUUUGCCUAUUCAGUGGGCUUAUUUCCAAAUGUAUGAUUUAGCUAUUGAGCUUAAAAUAUUUCAAUGAAAUGAAAAUAGUUUAUCCAAUAAAUAUUUUGUGCACUCUGCUCUGUUUAAGGCUCGCAUAAGUUAAUCGAUCGAGGUUCUCUCAUGACCUAACACGUUAUUUGAGAAUUGUGUACACCUAUUAGCUGACUCGGUGGGUUGAUCUCCAUCGGGCACUAAUCAUGUAUGAGGCGUUAUAAGGGUGCUCGACGGGAUGUGUUCCGGAGCAUUGGGUCCCAAAUGGGAACUUGACUGGGUUACGCCCUCAGUCCAAGUAAAGCAGGAGUAAUGGAUCCGUCGGUGGCUAAAAGGUCCGGGAUCACAGCGAGUAACGGAAAGGGAGUGUGACAAUUGCGCGCAAUAUAAUAAAAUAUUUUAACAUGCUUAGAAGUAUUUCAAUUUAAAACCUUCUAAGUCAUGUAAAGUAUAAUUGGAUAAACUGCUCUUAUGAUUAUGAAAUAUUUAUAAAAAUGCUAGCCCACUAAGUACAUUAGUACUUAGCCCAAAAUUCUUUCAAAUGUUUUCAGGUUGAUUGGUCGGUGCUGACGGGGCAGAGCUGAGGCAAAAGCUCUAAUUUGUCUUUUAUUUCUCCAACUUAAGACUUUUAUGUUAAAUUCUGAAUUAUGUUUCUUAUCGAGCUUAAACUCUCAACUUCUAGCUCUAUGUUAUUAACGUUGGUUAUCGGAAGCAUGAAACCGAAGUUGUGAUCCUAAGGCUUAGAAUGUUGUUGAUUGAUUAAUAUCACUUGAUUUUUGUCUUUCUUCACUCAAAGGGCGUUCCCCGACUUUUUAUCCUAUUAUUUGAAUCCCACAAGGUUCUUUCCUUGUUUAUUUCUAUGAUUUUAGUCGCACCUCGAUUAUAGUUUAUUCCUUCAAGAAUUGGGGUGUGACAACUGUCCCAGCUUUCUGUUUCAGAUUCCUGAACUCAGUUUGCUUCUUCUGUCUAUAGCAUCCUGGUAUGUACUUCUCAUACAACACAGUCUUAAAAUUUUCCCAAGUGAAGUUUUCCCACUGUUCAUUAGUCAUUGUGCGUCUCACUGAUUCCCACCAGAAGUCGGCUUCGUCCACCAGUUGGUAGGUUGCACAAGUUACUUUAUCUUCGUCAUCGCAACGGAUGUAGUUAAAGAUACGCUCUAUGGCCCUAAUCUAUUUUUCGGCGUCUGUUGGAUCGCCCAACCCGUCAAACGUUGGAGGUUUUUCCUUACGAAAAUUCUCUUCAGCAGUACGAUUUGGUGCUACUUGUUGGAUUGGCUCUUCAGGGAUGAAUCCCCUGCCGCGUCCGCGACCACGACCACGUCCUCGUUCCCUACCGCGCCCUCUUGGUGCGUCUUCCAUUCUGGUUUACGAACGAUAUAAACACAACUGUGAGACUCAUUCUUCAUACAUACAUACCUAGAUAUGUACAAGAUAUAUCGCUUCUAUGGUGUAACCAUGUGAAAGACUAGUUCUAUGUGGAAACUAAUCUUAACUUAAGUGGAAUAACUUAAGUGAAACCUUAAUCUCAUGACAUUUAUUAUACGUUGUAACAUAUCUAUGUUAAACGCUGCUAUCUUAUCAUUCCUUACUUAAAUCGAUCAAGCGGAGCUUUCACGACUAACAUUUCUAAAGUAUCCUUAGGUAGUACUCAAACGGUUUGUAAGAGGACUCAUCAUUCAUAUCGUACAGGCAGUGGACCUAAAACGAUAACAUAAAACUUUUCAUUCAUUUAAUCAUUUGUUCCUUUUGAAACCUUAAAACAUUUGGACAGUAAGUGUCCCUUUCAUGAAAACUCUUCUUAAGUCGAAAAGAUUAAAGGAAUCUAACUCGACCAUAAAUUUAUUGAUUCGUUAAGGGCUCGGGUAGUCCCAAACACGACAUACAUACAUACAUUGGUUAUAUGAGUCAAAGGCUCAAAAUAACAAUAUGAAAGCGAUAAGCAAUCCAUAUAACAUCAUUCAUUGAAAGCGCACUUCUUAAAAACUUUGAAAGCAUUUAAAACAUUGAACUUUUAAAGCAUACCUUAGUUGCGGCAGUGUGACGGCGAACUGAGGGUCAACAACUUUCUUAGAAGUCUAGAGAUACUAAUCUAGACUCAACAUUAGAAGCUUACGGUUAUCAGAGACAUGAAAGAAAACUUAUGCUCUGAUACCACUUGUAACAGCCCGACUUCCCAAGGCAAAAGGAAAUAGGAAGAAUAAUGGAAAGUCUUAAUCAACCAGAAUAAACUUGACAAUCUACCCAUUAAAUUGGGUAUUCAUAUUCCAAAGAGAUAAAAUGAAAUGAGGUAAAUUGAAAGGCCUUAAGAGUUGCCAAUCAAAUGACAAUAUUCAAACUCAGGAUCACAUAAGUUUAGUUUCAUGCUUCAGAUAACCAACAUUCCUUAAUCAAAAUACUUGAGAGUCAAAACUCUAAGCCCAACAAAAGAUAUCGUUUAGAGUCAUAACAUAAGGGUCUUAAGUCAAGAGAACGAAAGACAGAUAAAGGCUAGCACAACAGCGGAAGUCAAAACACGGAGUUGAACCCUAGCCUCAGCUCUCCCCGUCAACACCAGCCAUCAACCUGAAAAACAUUUGAAAGUAUUUGGGCUAAGUACUAAUGUACUUAGUGGGCUGCAACUUUUAAAACAUUUCACAAUUCGUAAGAGUAGUUUAUCCAAUCAUUCAUGACAUAACUUAGAAGGUUUUAAAGUAAAGGAACUUCUAAGAAUGUUAAAGCAUUUCAUUUUAUUAGCGCGCUGUUGUCACACUCUGUCCUGUUACUCGCUGUGAUCCCGGACCUUUUAGCCACCGACGGAUCCCUCAUUCCCAUGACACUUGCCCUGAGGACAUAACUCAGACAAGUUGAAUUGACCUCGGGACGCUACCCAGGCAUGCCUUACAUGAUACGUGCUCCGGAACACAUCCAGCCAAGCACCCUUAUAACGCCUCUGACAUGAAUUAGUGCCCGAUGGAGAUCAACCCACCGAAACAACUAACAAGUGUACACAAUUCUCAAACAACGUGUUAGGUCAUAAGAGAACCUCGAUCGAUCCAUGAAUUGCGAGCCUUAAACAUUACAGAGCGCACAAAAAUAUUUAUUGGAUAAACAGUUUUCAUUUCAUGAAAUAUUUAGAGCUUAAUAACUCAAUCAUACAUUUGGAAAGUAAGCCCACCUGAUUACAGCUCUAGUUGUGAUGCAGUAGCUCUCGUCUAGGUAUUACUCUCGCGCUUGACCUUUAUUGCGAGAAUUUAAAUAAGAUAUUUGCUCGAGCAAAAAUUCUCAAAUAAUGAGAGUGCAUGAGUAACUAUGCAUGAUUUAUUAUUCUUGAUAAUUCCAUUAUUAAUCCCAACUAUCGGAUUGAUUUAAGCAAGAUAACUAACUGAAGCUCGUCUCGUACGAUUGGAUAAAUAACUAUGACUAACCCGUUCGUCUAGGGUGUUCUAACUUACAGGGUAUUAAAAGAUCUCGCUCUAUUUAAUCGAUUAAAGAAAAUAGCUAAGUCGGCUCAUUCGCUUAGUAAUCUCGUAAGAAUUUAAUCGUAAUUGGGCAGCUGCGUCUAAUUAACUCGGCUAAACAAAUAUGAAUUGAAGUAAUAGUAAUAUAAGUCAAAUAAUUAAAAGGCUCAACAUAAUACAGCCUAAUAAUUAAUUAAGAGUGGGGUUGAAAUAAAAAAAUAAUUACCAUUCAUAUAUAUAUAUAAAUCUGGAGCCCAAGUAAAAUAAUAAAAUUUGGGCUGAAUAAUUAUUACAAGGCCCAACUGAGAUGAGAUUAUUGGGCUCAAAUAAUUAAAUAAAUCAGGGUCCAAAUAAGAUAUUAGCAGCCCAACUGAAAUAAUUAAGUCUAGGCCCAAGUAAAAUAAUUAGCAGCCCAAGGAAAAAUACAAUGGCCCAAAAUAAUUAAUGGUCCAGAACCAUUUAAACACAAGCCCAAUCUUUUAAAAGGUAGAGGCCCAAGGAAUGGCCCAACCCUUUCUUAUCUCUCCCACUCGGUCUCUCCCUCUUCUCAAACAGACGCACGCCUCGUUCUCCCUCUCACUCUCCUCGCCUUCAGACGAGGCGUCCGCCGCCGCGACUCCGGCGCGGCCGCGCCUGGCCGAGGGCGGCGCCUCUCGUCCAUCUCACUCUCUCCUCUCUCAAAAAUCAGAACGCCUCUCUUCCCCCUUUCUCUCUCUCUCUCUAAUCUCUACCUAAAUCACGCUCAGCCUUCUCCUCCCUCGAUCUGCCUCCAGUCGAGGCGUCCGCCGCCGCCGCUUCCUUCUCCGGCCGUUCCAGCUGCCGGCGUGGCCGGCGUUCAUCUGUUGACCGCGCCGCCUCCUCGCCCUAAACCCUCUCUUCACCGCUGUACAAGCAGAGCCCCAAAUCGAGCCCUAAUUCCUCCAUCACCUGAAUCCGCCACCACCACUUUCGAAAUCCGGCGAACGGCCGUUGCCGGUGAGUGAGGCCGCCCCUCCUUCGUCUGUCGUCCUUCCUCCCUCAAUUUCUCUCUCAAAAGUCCACCAAAGAAGAUAACUGAGGAGUCCUAUUCUCUUUCAAAAUCAGAAAUCGCCGCCGCCGCCCCUGAAAUUUCCGACGACGUUGUUGUCUCAAGCCGGCGUUGCUCCGCCUGAAAUCGCCACCGCCGCCGUGCACCGAGCCGCUGCUGCUGUCUCUCAGCUUCAGGGGAGGCAGCUCAAGAAUUGAGCCCUAUCCUUCCCCCAAAAAGAACCGGCCACACUCCCUCUUCCUCUUCCAGAAUCCGGCAACCUUGUCGCCUUUACGUCCCUCCGGCGAGCAGAGAAGCGUCUGUUGUUGCUGCUUUCUCCGGGUCGGCGGUUCGAGCAGCCGCACUGCUGCUGGAUUCGGGCGAUGGGUACGCCGCCGCUGCUGCUACUCUAGAAUCGGCGCGGGGCCAUCGCUGUGAUCGGGAGUCGUCUGCCUUUCACCGCUCGAUGCCGUCGACGCUGCUGUCCCCGCGAGUGGCCGCCC
RNAcentral lists this long non-coding RNA (5825 nucleotides) under Salvia miltiorrhiza (redroot sage). RNAcentral describes it as "long non-coding RNA (SMIL_LNC000895)". Lineage: Eukaryota; Viridiplantae; Streptophyta; Magnoliopsida; Lamiales; Lamiaceae. The record is from RNAcentral.